UACAGAGGAGCCAAGCGUUGUCCGGAUUGACUGGGCGUAAAGCGCACGCAGGCGGUCGCGCGCGUGGGGUGUGAAAUCUGGCCGCUUAACGGCCAGGCGCCAUCCCAUACGGCGCGACUGGAGGGAUGCAGAGGUCGAUGGAAUUGCCGGUGUAGUGGUGAAAUGCGCAGAUAUCAGGAAGAACACCAAUGGCGAAAGCAGCUCUCUGGGACGGUACUGACGCUGAGACGCGAAAGCGUGGGGAGCGAACAGG
RNAcentral lists this ribosomal RNA (253 nucleotides) under uncultured bacterium. RNAcentral's name for it is "partial 16S ribosomal RNA". It matches the Rfam family "Bacterial small subunit ribosomal RNA", at positions 524 to 776 of the family's 1533-position model. The record is from RNAcentral.